GACGAACGCUGGCGGCGUGCUUAACACAUGCAAGUCGAACGGAAAGGCCCUGCUUUUGUGGGGUGCUCGAGUGGCGAACGGGUGAGUAACACGUGAGUAACCUGCCCUUGACUUUGGGAUAACUUCAGGAAACUGGGGCUAAUACCGGAUAGGAGCUCCCGCUGCAUGGUGGGGGUUGGAAAGUUUCGGCGGUUGGGGAUGGACUCGCGGCUUAUCAGCUUGUUGGUGGGGUAGUGGCUUACCAAGGCUUUGACGGGUAGCCGGCCUGAGAGGGUGACCGGCCACAUUGGGACUGAGAUACGGCCCAGACUCCUACGGGAGGCAGCAGUGGGGAAUAUUGCACAAUGGGCGGAAGCCUGAUGCAGCAACGCCGCGUGCGGGAUGACGGCCUUCGGGUUGUAAACCGCCUUCGCCUGUGACGAAGCGUGAGUGACGGUAAUGGGUAAAGAAGCACCGGCUAACUACGUG
This 468-nucleotide ribosomal RNA is filed under the name uncultured bacterium. RNAcentral describes it as "partial 16S ribosomal RNA". It matches the Rfam family "Bacterial small subunit ribosomal RNA", at positions 28 to 507 of the family's 1533-position model. The record is from RNAcentral.